AACUUUGAGCGGUGGAUCACUCGGCUCGU
RNAcentral lists this non-coding RNA (29 nucleotides) under Mus musculus (house mouse). Lineage: Eukaryota; Metazoa; Chordata; Mammalia; Rodentia; Muridae. The record is from RNAcentral. RNAcentral also lists the same sequence under 11 other names.